GUGGAUUAGAUACCCCAGUAGUCCACGCCCUAAACGAUGCGAACUGGAUGUUGGGUGCAAUUUGGCACUCAGUAUCGAAGCUAACGCGUUAAGUUCGCCGCCUGGGGAGUACGGUCGCAAGACUGAAACUCAAAGGAAUUGACGGGGGCCCGCACAAGCGGUGGAGUAUGUGGUUUAAUUCGAUGCAACGCGAAGAACCUUACCUGGCCUUGACAUGCACGGAACUUUCCAGAGAUGGAUUGGUGCCUUCGGGAACCGUGACACAGGUGCUGCACGGUCGUCGCCAACU
RNAcentral lists this ribosomal RNA (289 nucleotides) under uncultured bacterium. Its description in RNAcentral is "partial 16S ribosomal RNA". It matches the Rfam family "Bacterial small subunit ribosomal RNA", at positions 773 to 1060 of the family's 1533-position model. The record is from RNAcentral.